GACGAACGCUGGCGGCGUGCUUAACACAUGCAAGUCGAACGGUGAAGCGCCUUCCUUUUUGGUGGGUGUGGAUGAGUGGCGAACGGGUAAGUAACACGUGAGUAACCUGCCCCCUUCUUCUGGAUAACCGCAUGAAAGUGUGGCUAAUACGGGAUAUUCUGGGUCUGUCGCAUGAUGGGUCUGUGAAAGAUAUUGUUUCGGUGGGGGAUGGGCUCGCGGCCUAUCAGCUUGUUGGUGGGGUGAUGGCCUACCAAGGCGGUGACGGGUAGCCGGCCUGAGAGGGUGGACGGUCACACUGGGACUGAGACACGGCGCAGACUCCUACGGGAGGCAGCAGUGGGGAAUAGUGCACAAUGGGCGCAAGCCUGAUGCAGCGACGCCGCGUGAGGGAUGGAGGCCUGCGGGUUGUGAACCUCUUUCGCCAGUGAAGCAGGCCUGCCUCGUUUGUGGGUGGGUUGACGGUAGCUGGAUAAGAAGCGCCGGCUAACUACGUG
This 494-nucleotide ribosomal RNA is filed under the name uncultured bacterium. RNAcentral describes it as "partial 16S ribosomal RNA". It matches the Rfam family "Bacterial small subunit ribosomal RNA", at positions 28 to 507 of the family's 1533-position model. The record is from RNAcentral.